UCCGGAAGACGAGCAAAUGUAAAUGGCCAUCAGGUCAUAUUUUUCGCCUUUCUUUAUCUUUGCUUGACGAACAAACAUGGCAGUGCCCAGAAGCGUUAGCUAUAGCUUCAGGUAACUUAACUUCUAGAAAGUUUUUACACAAUGAUUUUGACUCGUCGUCAGCUCUCCCAGGAUAUGUGGAACAAGAUCAACUUAGGUAAACUUGGGUGAGACGUCAGUGAGUUCCAACUUCCGAGAAAUAUGCAGGCUUUCAGAAGAGGGGGCUAUCCAGUGUUGUGUGGGCUGGAUCCCUCUGCAGUCUCUGGAUUAGUCAACCCAGACUUAGAACUCUCUGCUGGAUGAAGAGUACAGGCAGCUUGGGUGGGUGGAACCCCUCCCACUGCUGGACUGCACACAGUGUUUACGGUGUAAUAUACAUGUCUCCAGUAACAGAGAGCCAACAGGCACUGUUAUUUAAUAACCAUAUAGGAAGAGAUUAUUUAGGUCGAUGAUAUUAACAACAUGAUAUUAUGAACUGGUAUGUUCGAGCCCUACAUGCUAUUUGUCUUAUAGCCUGGGAACAUCAGACCGUAUACUUCAGGUAUGGGGAAAAAAUAAAUGUUUGCUGUUCUAAUUACAUUGGUAACAAGUUUGUCAUAGCAAUAAGACCUAUAGGGAUUGUGAUUUAUGGACAAUACCACCGUUAAGGGAUAUAUCAAGGCACUACUAAGAACAGCACUUAUCUAUGGUGUAUAUCUGGAAUACCAUUGGUCAGAACUGACAAGCUGUACCUAACUCCACAAGAAAGGUAGAGCUCAUAAAGUUGAUAUAGUAUUCAAUAAGUAGGUUUCUCACUCCUUGCAUUUAUGAUGAGCCUUUUCUGCCUCUUCCUUCCCUUUUGUCUGUAGACUUACCCAGCCCUUUAUGAUAGGGUGUUAUCCAUUACUGUGUAUUCUGGACACAGUA
Long non-coding RNA from Esox lucius (northern pike), 945 nucleotides. RefSeq lists it as uncharacterized. The transcript has 3 exons. The record is from RefSeq and is a predicted model, not a curated record. Lineage: Eukaryota; Metazoa; Chordata; Actinopteri; Esociformes; Esocidae.